GUAAGCAGCUGAAACCCACUUAGAAGUGUUAGGUGAUGAAGGGUAAGAUGUCAAGGAAACCAAGAACGGGAGGAUAAGAGGGAAAGAUAGAGCCAAAAAAGCAGCAGGGGAGCAUAGCAGGGAGGAGGUAGGGAGAAAGGAGGUCCAGAGGGAAGGGGAGAGAGAUGAAAAAGUAAAGUCAGAGCAAAAGUGGGAAGGAAAGGAUGGACUGGGGGGGGCCCACUUUAAGGAAGAUGACAACAAGAUGAGGAGAUGGGGUGGAGAGGAAGAGAGAAAAUUUUGGAGGACUGACAGAGGGGUGACAAUUAAUUGGAAAAGAAGAAAAUGGGAGGGGGUGACAAGAGUGAGAGAAAAAGGAGGCAGAAGAAGUUGCCAAAGAGUUGAUCGAGUGACUGACAAGGAGUGAGAGGAGGCGGAAAGGAAGAAAAGAAAAGGGGGUUGACAAGCAAUAAAAAGAGCAGCAAGAGAAAGUAGACGCGCAAAGGGAGGUAAACGGAGAAGGAGGGGAAGGGAGAAGUGAGCCUGAGAAUAGACCGACUGGAGGAGGGAGAAGGUGAGGGAGAGACAGACACUGUAACAGAGGCAAAUAGAAACACAGUAAGAGGUGCGGAGACAGAAACAGAGAAAGACCAGACGGACAGACCCUUCCCCAUCAACUAACUCCCAACCCGCUUCUGGACUCCCAAGCACACACACGUCCUGCCAUAUACUCACCUCCUCCGUCUCUUUCCCCCACCGUACGAAGAUUUUUACUUGUGUACUUGAAACUUCCCUAGGAGUCUCCUGAAAGGCUCCUGUAAAGAUGAGAGGAAAAUCCAAAGAAGAAACGCAGAGAAGUCAAAUGACUUAAGGUCACAAACUAACAUCAGAAGCAGAAUUUGAACACGGGUCUUCAGACUCCACUGUCAAAGCAAGAGGAAAAUCGGAAAGCAAAUAAGGUGGUUUCGGUCCUUGUUAUUCAAUUUGCCCCUGACUCACAAGGGAUGCUAAUGUCUACUUGUCUUGACCAGCCUAUAGGGAAGGCAGGAGAAAUCCCGGCAGCAGCUUAAGUCUGACAUAGAGGAUCAGCAAAGCGGAAAAGUUUUUUUUUUCAGGCUCCUGGUGGAAUUUUAUAUGAAUGGGUAUUCCAGGGGAAAAUUCCAUGGGGUCGGAACUAAUUAUAGGAAGUUGCCUUGUACCUGAAAUUCGGGGUUACCUGAGAAUACCCUACGCCUACUUCAGCUCACUAAAACAGUACUUCAGAUCCUCUGCCGAAUUUCUCUAACCACUUCAGACACACAUCCUAGCUUUUAAUUCAGGGAAUACUGUGUGAUCGAAGCAUUUUUGAGAUGCCUAAUGUGUGCCAAGCAACGUGCUAAGCUUUGAGGAAUGCAAAAGAGGGUCCCAAACCCUUCUGCAAGGCAAAAGAGACUGCCUCCUCUCAAGGAGCUCUCAAAUGGUUCCGCAUGAAACGUCAGGCAUAAAAAUCAAAGGAUCGAAGAAUGUGACAGCUGGAAAAUACCUCAGAGAUCAUUUAGCCUAACCCAUUUUUCAAAGAAGAAAACUGCUUUAUGUCACUUCGGGCUGUCUUAAGUUUUUCCAUUUACAUUUGUUUAUUUCAAAGAAGAGGAGAUAUGGAGGACUCCAACUCUAGCUCACGACCUUCUCAUCUUGCUCACGCGCGCGCACACACACACACACACACACACACACACACCCCCUCUACCACCACCACCAACCUCACAUCUGUGACAUGGGGAAGGCUAAGAUAAAGGGAAGGGAAGGACUUCCUUCAGACUGCUUGGUGACUCAGCCACUUGGAGUCCUGACUCCAUGCCCAGUGAUUUACUCACCAGAUCAAACUCCUCUACAUUGUAAAUCACUAGCAUAAGAAAUGCUGAAUAGUGAAAGAAAUGGGACUGAGAUGAAGGGAACCAGUCAGGCACACUUCCUCAUUUAUUGAUUGCCUUUUAUUCACAACCUCAUCAAUAUCCUUCCUCAUUUACUUCUGCCAGUUACAACCUCUGGAUACCAGCAUCUUUACCAGUUUGUUUCCCCGACAAAAAGAUGAUUCCAAAAAUGUCUAAGGGAUUUAAAAAGGCCUAGGCAGGAAGGGUUCCUUUAUCUCUGCUUCAAGAGGAGGGAUGGGGGGAAUAAAAUCAUUUGAAAUAGAGAACUGUUCAACUCACUGUGAGAGUUAAAAAAAAAAAACCACAGUGGAAAUUCAUCUGAGGUCUCAAAUCCUGAGGGCUCUCUGUUCUAGGAAGAGGGAACCCAAAGUUGCAUCCCUUCAGGAAUUUCCCAAGUAUGUUAAUUCUAUUGUCAGUGUAUUUAGAAAGGGGAUGUUAGGAGGGGAUAGACUGGGUACGAGGUAAGGCAGCAUCUCCCAGUACCAAGGAGCUCCAGUUUAUCAAUUCAUUUAUGGAUUUUCCACUUGCCAAAACCAAAACAGCAGAAUCACUACUAGCUAGGUCAUGUGCAACUUUCAUCCCCUUGUUUCUUACUCUUUCCUUGAGCCAAUUCCAUGACUCAGCAGCACAGAUGGAUACAUCCCCUGGUGCUUUCAGAAUCAAAUAUGUUGCACAAGAGAGAAAAAAAAUUUAAGGCAUUCUGGCUGAAGACAAGGACCUGGGCAUUUCCUAAAAUUAGAGAACUGAGCCUACAGUGAAAGAUCACAUUUCAAUCAGUGUUGGGGGAGGAGAGGGGAAGGAACAAGUAUUUAUUAAACAACUAUUAGGUGCCAGGCAACAUACUAAGUGCUUUACAAAUAAUGUCUCAUUUGAUGAGGGUGGAAGAUGGGCUAAAAUAGGCUCUUUCUCAGUAUGUGCCCACUCGAACAUAGAAAUUGACACAGGACUAGAGGAGAACGUCACAGAGAUAGAGUAUAAAGCAAACGCAGAAAAGUUCAAGAUAGACAGAAAGGAAUUAUAAGUAAAGGAAAUAAAAAUGCCCAAUGUGUCCAUGUCAUAUAUUAGGAGAGGUAGUAAGAGGUGGGAGGUCCCUUUUGAAGAAGCAAUUCACAGAAAGAGCAUUUGUGUGUCACUGCAUUGAUGUUAGGAUGAGGGUGAGUGUAUUUUGUACGUGUGACUAUAAAGGAAAUAAAAUGCAGCUUGC
Phascolarctos cinereus (koala) is the source of this 3093-nucleotide non-coding RNA. The record is from RefSeq and is a predicted model, not a curated record. Lineage: Eukaryota; Metazoa; Chordata; Mammalia; Diprotodontia; Phascolarctidae.